AAAAAUGCUGCUCGAGCAGCAUUUAAAUGCUGCUCGACCAGCAAAAUACUGCUCGAGCAGCAAAUUUACUGCUCGACUAGCAUUUUUCUGCUCGAGCAGAAAAAUCCUGCUCGACCAGCAUUUAUUUUUAGAUUAUGGCAUUAGCCAAUCAGAACUCUUGUUAUAUUUGCCAUUUGGUGCAAAACUGGUUUGUUUGGAAAAAAUGGCUGCCGCCGUGAUGGUGCCUUUUUCACAUCUUCUGCAAGUUUAUGUGACGAUCUGUUUAAAGUUUAACAUUGACACGCGGUGGACUUCAAUAUGUAUGAUCUACUUAUGCUGCAACAAUGUAAAGGCAACAAUCACUGGGUUUUGCUGGUUGCAAGUGUUAUGUCCAGGACUGUAACCAUUUACGACUCGUUGGGUGGUAACAACAAGGCCUUGUUCGAUUUGUUCUGCCAGUUCAUGUGUCAACGAGCGCAAAUUGUGAAAGAUGGCUUGGAAAAAAUCAGUUCAGAGUUAAAAGCGCCACCUUGCAACAAACAGGGCCACGGAAACAGCUGUGGAGUGUUUGCAUUGAUGGUAAUAAAUAAGCUUUAUAUUUCUAUAUAGGUGUCACUUUGUCGUACUGUCGGUCGGUCUGUCUCGAAAUUUCAUCCGAUCUUCACCAAACUUGGUCACAAGUUGUAUCUUGAUGAUGUUUAGGCCAAGUUUGAAUAUGGGUCAUGCUGGGUCAAAAACUAGGUCACGGGGUCACUUAGUGUGUUUUAAACCGAAAGUUUGUCCGGAUCAUAACUAUGUCAUUUAUCGUUAGAUUUUAAAAUAACUUGGUACAUUUGUUCACCAUCAUGGAACGGUGUGUUGCGUGAAAAAAGUACGUCGAUAUCCCCAAGAUCAAGGUCACACUUGGAGUUCAAGGGUCAAAUGCUUGUCCGGGCCAUAACUUUAUCAUUUAUUGUGAGAUUUUAAAAUCAUUUAGCAAAUUUGUUCACCAUCAUGGGGCGGUGUGUCGCGCGAAAGAAUUUCUUCAAUAUCUCGAAGGUCAAGGUCACACUUUGAGUUCAAAGAUUAAAAAUGGCCAUAAAUGAGCUUGUCUGGGCAAUAACUAUGUCAUUCAUUGUGAGAUUUUAAAAUCAUUUGGCACAUUUGUUCACCAUCAUUGGACGGUGUGUCGCGCGAAAGAAUUACGUCGAUAACUCCAAGUUCAAGGUCACACUUUGAGUUCAGAGGUAAAAAAAGGCCAUGUGGAUAACUCCAAGGUCUUGGUCACACUUGGAGUUCAAAAGUAAAAAAAAAUGGCCAUACAUUUGGACUGCAUGUCAUGCUAAAAAAUUCAAGAGUUCAAAGGUCAAAAUGGCCAUAAAUGAUAAUGGCAUUAUCAUUAUUAAAAAUAGCCAUAAAUGUGAUUCUCUUGUUUUGUGAAGACAGCAUGCAAAAUAGUCUGUGUCAAUUCGGCACGUGGGGGUAUUUGUCACGUCUGUGACAAAGCUGUAGUUUGCUUAGUAAAGAUCUGCAUUAACGUUUAUUCAACAAAAUAAUGGGAGAAUGUAGAAUAUAAUCAUCGUACCUUUCUGUUGGUGCAUUGGUUUUUAGAGCCUUGCAUUUUCUUUUAAUUUAUAAAGGACAUGAUAUUUCAUAUGUAAUAUCAUAACCUGAGGAUCAAACUGUGUUAUAGAGUCUUUUGUCAAAUAACCCUGAAAAAAGGU
Molecule: long non-coding RNA, 1682 nt
Organism: Dreissena polymorpha
Lineage: Eukaryota; Metazoa; Mollusca; Bivalvia; Myida; Dreissenidae
Exons: 3
Source: RefSeq, a predicted model, not a curated record